This 230-nucleotide unclassified non-coding RNA is filed under the name plant metagenome. RNAcentral's name for it is "partial contains small subunit ribosomal RNA, internal transcribed spacer 1, and 5.8S ribosomal RNA". The record is from RNAcentral.
UCUCCGUAGGUGAACCUGCGGAGGGAUCAUUAACGAGUUCCCCUUAAACGGGUAGAAGUCCCACCCUAUGUUAUCAUUACCUUUGUUGCUUUGGCGGGCCGUCGCGGCCUCGGUCAAGCUACCGGCCCCGGCUGGUAAGCGCCCGCCAGAGGACCCCAAACUCUGAAUAUUAGUGUCGUCUGAGUACUAUAUAAUAGUUAAAACUUUCAACAACGGAUCUCUUGGUUCUG